AUGGGGCCGCCUCCGACUCCAGCCCCGGUGCAGCAGCCGCAGCCGCCGCGCACGGGGAGAGCAGCAGCGCCACGGACUGGGAAGUUCCGGACGCUUGCUCCUACUUUUUCUUUCCCUAUUAAAGAAAAGAGUAAAGACCGUUCGGCCGAACGGCAGUACAUGGUACCUAAAGAGCGAUAUUCCCCAGGCCACCUGCGUCCUACGCUUGUGGUGCGCUCCUCCAUGUUGCCUCUUUCCCCCUCUCAGCCCGGUGGCUGUAGGGUGGCGGUCGGACAGCGUGUUCACAUGGCCUCUGGUUCACCUGCUUCUAAGAAGCGGCGUCCCUUGGAGCCUCGUGGACGGAUCAGAGACUCAUUGCACGAGCCCGUGGAUAUGGCCGCUUGUACCGGUCUCCUGGUUCCCCACAUUAUAGGUGAGGAGAUGGGUCCGCGCGCUGUGGCUACAGCCUGCGGACAGCGCAUGCGCACAGGUGCUGCUGCCGGACGGCUCGCUCCCUGUUCAGCGGGCACGAGCGCGACGUCUAGACAGCUCGUUGUUUUUACAGCUGCUAGUUCUGGUACGUCUCCUACGCUCGCUGAGCCUCCUCCCUUUCGUGGGAAGCCCCCCUUGGUUCACACGCAGUGUGGAGGCGGUAGGGGCAGAGGAAUACGGGUUAUUCCUGGACGGUCUUCCUCAGCUGUCGGCUCGCCCUCUCUCCAACCGCUAUGCGUGUUGGCAAGAGUGGUGCGUUCUGCCAUCGUGGUUGGACACCACGUUGAGAUGGGGCCAUCCCAUACAGUUCAAGCGUCGUCCCCCACCCUUUGUGGGGUUGGUGGAGACCACGCUACGGGACCCGGCUGCGAGCACGGCUCUGGCAGCAGAGGUGGCACGUCUCUUGGUAAAGGGGGCCAUCACUGUCGUUCCCCCCCACGAGUCUCACCUAGGUUUUUAUUCCCGCUACUUCCUGGUUUCCAAGAAGUCAGGGGAAAUGAGACCUAUUCUGGAUCUUCCCGUGUUCAACAGAUUCGUUGCCACGAGGAAGUUCAGAAUGCUCACGGUCGGAGCAUUGUUCCGGUGUGUGAGAGAGGGCGAUUGGUUCACAUCCCUGGAUCUCAAGGAUGCUUACUUCCACGUCCCUGUUCGGCAGGCGCACAGGAAGUUUCUCCGCUUUGCCUUUAUGGGGAUGGCGUACGAGUACCAGUGUCUGCCGUUCGGCUAUUCCCUGGCUCCGCGCACCUUCUCGAAGUGUGUGGAGACGGCGUUGGAACCGCUCAGACGUCAGGGAAAGAGGAUUCUCUUCUACCUAGACGAUCUGCUUAUUCUGAGCAACUCAGAAGAGACCGCGAGAAGGGACACCAUGUUGGUGAUAAACCAUCUCUCCUUCCUGGGUUUUGCCAUCAACUGGGAGAAGAGCUCCCCGCUCCCCAGCCGGCAGACAGUCUACUUGGGGCUUUGCCUAGACUCAGCCACCAUGACUGCGAUGCUUUCGCCUCCUCGGCGAGACGCCAUCCUGUCGGCGCUCUCCCGUUUUCACGUUCGCAGAAACGUGACCGCACUGUCCACCAUGCGCCUGUUGGGGCUGAUGGCAGCUGCCCACCCCGUGGUCCCCCUGGGUCUGCUUUUUAUGCGCAGACUCCAGCGGUGGUUUGCUCGCCAACGGUUGGACCCCAGGCGACACAAGCUCAGGGUGCUCCUCGUCCCCCGUUCGGUGUCGCCAGACCUGGAAUAUUGGAAAGGACCCUCCGCCCUUCUCAAGGGUGUUCCCCUGGGCAGGGUGGCGUCCUACGUAGUGGUCUUCACGGACGCCUCGUUGACGGGUUGGGGAGGAACGUGCCUCUCUCACUCGGUCUGAGACGAGUGGCGCACGCCCCCUACAGCACACAUAAAUGUGUUGGAGCGCGACGCUGUGAGGAAAGUGCUGUUGCAUUUCUUUCACCUGGUGCGCGGCCGCCACAUUCUGAUCAGGACAGACAGUGUGUCGGCGGCGGCGUACAUCAACAGACAGGGGGAAGUCCGCUCCCCUGCUCUCCACCGAAAGGCGGUCGAGCUCUGGCUUUGGGCUCAUCAGUAUCUCCGCAGUCUGAGAGCCCUGCAUAUCGCGGGCGCCCAGAACUUUGGGGCGGACCUCAUGUCUCGAGGCGGUCCACGCCGAGACGAGUGGCGGUUACAUCCCGACACUGUCAGACUGAUCUGGCAGAGGCUCGGGACAGCGCAGGUGGACCUCUUCGCGUCCCGGGAGAACACGCACUGCAGGUGGUGGUUCUCCCUCAGCCCUCGGGAUCUUCCCCCGUUGGGGGUAGAUGCGUUGGCACACACACCUUGGCCGCGGGCUCUCUUGUAUGCGUUUCCCCCGCUCCAGCUGAUCCUUCCUCUUCUGGAACGGGUCAGACAGGAGAGACUGUCCCUGAUAUUAGUGGCCCCGGAGAACCGUUCAGCUCUGUGGUUUCCAGAGCUGGCCGCGCUCUCGCGGUCGGCGCCUUGGCCAGUACCAUUCAGGCCGGAUGCGCUUUCACAGGCCCACGGGACGGUGCACCAGUAGUAUAUACUAUGUACUGUAUGGGUCCAUUCCUAUCUGAACACACUUCCGGUUGGGGUGGGGUGGGGGUGGAGGGGGGUAUCCCUAUUCACAAGAGCCACUUCCUGUUUAUGGUUUAUGACGGGUCAUAA
Molecule: long non-coding RNA, 2646 nt
Organism: Gadus morhua (Atlantic cod)
Lineage: Eukaryota; Metazoa; Chordata; Actinopteri; Gadiformes; Gadidae
Source: Ensembl